RNAcentral lists this ribosomal RNA (508 nucleotides) under uncultured soil bacterium. RNAcentral's name for it is "bacterial SSU rRNA". It matches the Rfam family "Bacterial small subunit ribosomal RNA", at positions 26 to 523 of the family's 1533-position model. The record is from RNAcentral.
AGAUUGAACGCUGGCGGCAUGCCUUACACAUGCAAGUCGAACGGUAGAGUAGCAAUACUCGAGAGUGGCGAACGGGUGAGUAAUAUAUCGGAACGUGCCCAGUCGUGGGGGAUAACGUAGAGAAAUUUACGCUAAUACCGCAUACGAUCUACGGAUGAAAGCGGGGGAUUCGCAAGAACCUCGCGCGAUUGGAGCGGCUGAUAUCAGAUUAGGUUGUUGGUGAGGUAAAAGCUCACCAAGCCGACGAUCUGUAGCUGGUUUGAGAGAACGACCAGCCACACUGGGACUGAGACACGGCCCAGACUCCUACGGGAGGCAGCAGUGGGGAAUUUUGGACAAUGGGCGAAAGCCUGAUCCAGCAAUGCCGCGUGCAGGAAGAAGGCCUCGGUUGUAAACGUGCUUUUGUACGGAACGAAACGGUACCUUUACUAACUAAAGAAGGCUAAUAGACGGUAACCGUAACGAAAUAAGACACCGGACUAACUAACGUGCCAGCACGCCGCGGUAA